GUGGGGAAUAUUGGACAAUGGGCGCAAGCCUGAUCCAGCCAUGUCGCGUGAGUGAUGAAGGCCCUAGGGUUGUAAAGCUCUUUCACCGGUGAAGAUAAUGACGGUAACCGGAGAAGAAGCCCCGGCUAACUUCGUGCCAGCAGCCGCGGUAAUACGAAGGGGGCUAGCGUUGUUCGGAAUUACUGGGCGGAAAGCGCACGUAGGCGGGUAUUUAAGUCAGGGGUGAAAUCCCGGAGCUCAACUCCGGAACUGCCUUUGAUACUGGGUACCUAGAGUAUGGAAGAGGUAAGUGGAAUUCCGAGUGUAGAGGUGAAAUUCGUAGAUAUUCGGAGGAACACCAGUGGCGAAGGCGGCUUACUGGUCCAUUACUGACGCUGAGGUGCGAAAGCGUGGGGAGCAAACAGGAUUAGAUACCCGAGUAGUCC
RNAcentral lists this ribosomal RNA (425 nucleotides) under uncultured bacterium. RNAcentral describes it as "partial 16S ribosomal RNA". It matches the Rfam family "Bacterial small subunit ribosomal RNA", at positions 354 to 796 of the family's 1533-position model. The record is from RNAcentral.